Molecule: ribosomal RNA, 894 nt
Filed under: Microbacterium sp.
Lineage: Bacteria; Bacillati; Actinomycetota; Actinomycetes; Micrococcales; Microbacteriaceae
Description: bacterial SSU rRNA
Rfam family: Bacterial small subunit ribosomal RNA
Source: RNAcentral
GACAAAGGGGAUAAGCGCUGGAAACGGCGUCUAAUACUGGAUACGAGUAGCGACCGCAUGGUCAGCUACUGGAAAGAUUUAUUGGUUGGGGAUGGGCUCGCGGCCUAUCAGCUUGUUGGUGAGGUAAUGGCUCACCAAGGCGUCGACGGGUAGCCGGCCUGAGAGGGUGACCGGCCACACUGGGACUGAGACACGGCCCAGACUCCUACGGGAGGCAGCAGUGGGGAAUAUUGCACAAUGGGCGCAAGCCUGAUGCAGCAACGCCGCGUGAGGGAUGACGGCCUUCGGGUUGUAAACCUCUUUUAGCAGGGAAGAAGCGAAAGUGACGGUACCUGCAGAAAAAGCGCCGGCUAACUACGUGCCAGCAGCCGCGGUAAUACGUAGGGCGCAAGCGUUAUCCGGAAUUAUUGGGCGUAAAGAGCUCGUAGGCGGUUUGUCGCGUCUGCUGUGAAAUCCGGAGGCUCAACCUCCGGCCUGCAGUGGGUACGGGCAGACUAGAGUGCGGUAGGGGAGAUUGGAAUUCCUGGUGUAGCGGUGGAAUGCGCAGAUAUCAGGAGGAACACCGAUGGCGAAGGCAGAUCUCUGGGCCGUAACUGACGCUGAGGAGCGAAAGGGUGGGGAGCAAACAGGCUUAGAUACCCUGGUAGUCCACCCCGUAAACGUUGGGAACUAGUUGUGGGGUCCAUUCCACGGAUUCCGUGACGCAGCUAACGCAUUAAGUUCCCCGCCUGGGGAGUACGGCCGCAAGGCUAAAACUCAAAGGAAUUGACGGGGACCCGCACAAGCGGCGGAGCAUGCGGAUUAAUUCGAUGCAACGCGAAGAACCUUACCAAGGCUUGACAUAUACGAGAACGGGCCAGAAAUGGUCACUCUUUGGACCUCGUAAACAGGUGG